Long non-coding RNA from Cyprinus carpio carpio, 1618 nucleotides. Lineage: Eukaryota; Metazoa; Chordata; Actinopteri; Cypriniformes; Cyprinidae. The record is from Ensembl.
CAGUCACCUAAUGACCACAAGCCAAAUCAAUCAGAAUCAGAAUGAGCUUUAUUGCCAGGUAUGUUUACACAUACGAGAAAUUUGUUUUCGUGACAGAAGCAAAUCAAGGCAAUGCAAUCCCUUUCUCAUGCCUCCAUCUGAAAAGUUGGAGGAAAAAAAUAAAUAAAUAAAAGAGUCCAAAUAAUGACCCCUAUAACAUAUAGUGUUCCAAAUGUUAAGCGACUUCAGCUUAUGAUGGGUCCAACUGGUAUUUUUAUGGUGUAAGGGCUGUGUCGGCAUAAGAAAAAGCCAUGCUUUGUUUAGUGAUGUCAGUGCUGUGGCACUGGCUGGGGACAAACUGCUGCAUGCGCAGCUCCUCGUUAGUAUAGUGGACAGUAUCUCCGCCUGUCACGCGGAAGACCGGGGUUCGAUUCCCCGACGGGGAGAGCUAGCUCUUUUCUGCUUGCUGGACGACCAAUCCAAAAGUUUUUGGCGCAACCAGGGCUCACAGAAGGAGUACGGCUACGAUGUCAGCCCGAGCCAAAGGAAAUGCGUUGGCCGGGAAUCGAACCCGGGUCAACUGCUUGGAAGGCAGCUAUGCUCACCACUAUACCACCAACGCAGGCAGAAGGUGCCAGAAAUACAGGUCACUCACAAAAGCUCCCCUUCACGGAAAGACAGCUAUGCUCACCACUAUACCUCCGGCGCAGGCAGAAGACACCAACUUGCGCUGUCAGUAAGAAGGCUCGAAGCGCAUGAGUCAAUGAUAGGGCUAGAGGAGCUAAUGAGAUCUUUGUCUGGACCCGUCAGUAAAGAGAGCAGUCCAGAGUUUGGAUCCCGUCACGCAGAAGACACCAACUUGCGCUGUCAGUAAGAAGGCUCGAAGCGCAUGAGUCAAUGAUAGGGCUAGAGGAGCUAAUGAGAUCUUUGUCUGGACCCGUCAGUAAAGAGAGCAGUCCAGAGUUUGGAUCCCGUCACGUACAAAAAAAGCGCUGUCUUUCCAUACUGGCUAAAUAAAUACAAAGUGGUGACGCCGGAAACACAGAGGCUGCAAACACAGACGAUGACCAGUUGCACGUCCUCCCACCGUGUGUUGGCAGAUGGCCAAAUUCACUCUGCUCUUGACAUUCCGGUGUAGCUCUGCUGUGAGCAGAGCCCCCCAAAAAAAUACAGGUCACUCGCAAAAGCUCCCCUCCACGGAAAUCUUUAGUAAAAGGCGAAAGAUUUAUGCGACAAUGAAGAGAAACUCGAGCUGUAUCCCCACCCCCCUUGGGCCUGUGCGCUGCCAGUGGUAAGCCACUAUUCUCACCUAGGGUCAUCAAUGGUGAAGACACCUGCCCACAUGCAUUUCGUCACCCCCCUCACUCCAAAGGGGAGGAGUAAAGGUCACAAAAAAUUCCCGUCAGUCACCUAAUGACCACAAGCCAAAUCAAUCAGAAUCAGAAUGAGCUUUAUUGCCAGGUAUGUUUACACAUACGAGAAAUUUGUUUUCGUGACAGAAGCAAAUCAAGGCAAUGCAAUCCCUUUCUCAUGCCUCCAUCUGAAAAGUUGGAGGAAAAAAAUAAAUAAAUAAAAGAGUCCAAAUAAUGACCCCUAUAACAUAUAGUGUUCCAAAUGUUAAGCGACUUCAGCUUAUGAU